UACGAAGGGGGCUAGCGUUGUUCGGAAUCACUGGGCGUAAAGCGCACGCAGGCGGAUUGAUAAGUCAGGGGUGAAAUCCCGGAGCUCAACUUCGGAAUUGCCUUUGAUACUGUCUGUCUUGAGUCCGGGAGAGGUGAGUGGAAUUCCUAGUGUAGAGGUGAAAUUCGUAGAUAUUAGGAAGAACACCAGUGGCGAAGGCGGCUCACUGGCCCGGUACUGACGCUCAUGUGCGAAAGCGUGGGGAGCAAACA
RNAcentral lists this ribosomal RNA (251 nucleotides) under uncultured prokaryote. RNAcentral's name for it is "partial 16S ribosomal RNA". It matches the Rfam family "Bacterial small subunit ribosomal RNA", at positions 524 to 774 of the family's 1533-position model. The record is from RNAcentral.